AUACUUACCUGGCAGGGGAGAUGCCAUGAUCUCGAAGGUGGUUUUCCCAGGGCGAGGCCCACCCAUUGCACCCCGGAUGCGCUGACCCCUGCCAUUUCCCCAAAUGUGGGAAACCUGACCGCAUAAUGUGUGGUCGUGGGGGACUGUGUUCGUGCUCUACCCUG
Molecule: small nuclear RNA, 164 nt
Organism: Echinops telfairi (small Madagascar hedgehog)
Lineage: Eukaryota; Metazoa; Chordata; Mammalia; Afrosoricida; Tenrecidae
Gene: U1
Rfam family: U1 spliceosomal RNA
About the family: U1 is a small nuclear RNA (snRNA) component of the spliceosome (involved in pre-mRNA splicing).
Source: Ensembl